Molecule: long non-coding RNA, 349 nt
Organism: Capsicum annuum
Lineage: Eukaryota; Viridiplantae; Streptophyta; Magnoliopsida; Solanales; Solanaceae
Exons: 3
Source: RefSeq, a predicted model, not a curated record
GUAUAACAAUAAUAUAAUACCCUCCCCCCCAGAAGUGUGAAACAAAAGCAGUGGUUGGGCGCAGCAGUUAGCAGUACCAUAUUUUUUCAUUCGUGGUUGUGGAAAGGGUCUCUCGACAUCCCCAGAUUUGGACCUUUCAAAAACUUUACGGAAGGGCAAGACCUUGACAAAUUAUCUCGCGUGUGAAUUCUUCGGUUGAGAAAGUGUUCUAAAGGCUCAGACAUGACCUCACCUCUAGAGUUUGAUAGCAGAUCUUGAUCCAAAGGUGAGCAUUCCGUCUCCAGGCUGCCAUUGGUUAUCUUAUUUGUUCUUGUCCAUCUUUUGGGCAAUGAAACAUUCUUUAUUUACU